Molecule: long non-coding RNA, 3261 nt
Organism: Xiphophorus maculatus (southern platyfish)
Lineage: Eukaryota; Metazoa; Chordata; Actinopteri; Cyprinodontiformes; Poeciliidae
Exons: 3
Source: RefSeq, a predicted model, not a curated record
AAUUCCAGAAUGUAGAGGAACAAAGUUAUUAACGUCUGUCCGUCUCUAAGUUGUCCCAAAGCCACUUCCGAGGCUUUGGGACUCUGAGAAUACCGUUGUCCACAAAGGGUGAAAACAUGGAGGAGUAGAAAACCAUCUAAGAAGUGGCCAGUCUACCAAAAUUACUCCAAGAACACGGCAAUUAGUUUUACACAGUAUUUGACAUUACAGACAAUUUGAAAGAGAUUGAAAACUGACUUGAUUAUACACUCAAUAACAGGUGCAAGAAUGGUCAGGAAUUUGUUUUAAACUAUUCAGUUUGAAUGAAAAUAACAAACGAAUACAUUUUCCUCUACUCAUAAUGUCUAGUGCUUGUAGAACUGAGGGGGCAUUAACAAAUGAAAGUGUGAAUAGGGCCAUUUUUUAAAAGUUUGCAGAGCAACGUAGUAAUUAACAGCAUUUUGGCUGUCGUACCUGCAUCAGGUCGGAUAACUGAACAUAAAUCUGAGGGAAAAUAACUUCAAGCUUUUUCUAAAGAAUAACCACUCUGAUGAUCAGAGAGUGGUAAUUUUAUUUAAGCCGCUUCGUUUGACAAACUUUGCUGUAAAGAAUAUUCUGUACAUCUACUUCGGUUGAAGUGGUUCCAGGCACUUGAUGUUGACCUGCUGUAUCAAUUGCAAAUCUGGUUUCUUUUGUGUGUUUGGGAUCAUUUCAGUGUUGGAGCACAAAGUUUUAAUCAUCUAGCUGUUGAGUUGGAGACCGAUUGUAAAAUGUAGAGAUAAUCCAAACUGAACUAAUGGCAACAAAGCAAAUCCACCGUAAUAAUUAAAAGAUUGAAAGUUGUCCCCGUGUUUGUAAGCAUCACCUUGACUUCUGGAAACAUUUUUCUUCUCAUUGUUGCCAUGCAGCACAAACCGUUGGCUCCUCUAACCGAGAAACGUUUUUUGCACAAGAGAUGCAAUCUGUCCCUUUUUAGGGCGCUACAAUUUUCAGGCUGAAAAAAGUCGAUUGUGGCAUAUGGACAACUUUCACGGUCAGCACCUUCUCAUCCAAAGGUGAUGUUAAACUAAUUUUUUCUGUGGACAGUGACCUUUGCGUUCCACCACCUCCCUGUCUGCAGGUUUAAAAGUUUGGGUUGGGUGGUUGAAACUUUGACAAUGUUGGGUGUCCCAGCAGGACACCCAACCGUUAACACGGUUCUUUAGCACAGGCCAGCUAGUUCAUUGCCUGAAAAGUGGUUAAAUAUGCAUCUAAAACUAUGGCUGGGUGAAGGAUAUCAGUUUCUCUUGCCAGCAGGUUGAUAUUACUAAAUUUUUCAUGUGUUUUUCUUUUUUUUGUAUAAAGCAUGCUAACUACUCCACUACCACUUAUCCCAGUUUGUGAAACGUUCUACUCAUGAAACACUAGAUUUAUUUACCUGCCCAAACUAAUCAAGUCAUUUUAGAAUUUUAUUGUUACCAGAAAUCGUUUUUUCGGUGCUACGGCUUUGAUGAGAGCACAUUUUGUACCAAUCUUUGCUAACCAGCCAUGCUCGCGGCGUCCUUCAUGAUGAAAUCCAUAAACAAGGUUUUAAAAUUCACUUAGCUCAAACUGGGACAAAUCACCUGCCUGCAAUUUCUGCCCCUGCAGCCAGUGUCCACUUCACUCGCCGAUACAUAAUAAUCCAGCCUGCUGCAGGAAAUUGAACAACCUGCUCAGGACCCAUCUGAGCGCAGAAUGGCGGGAGGGGAAACGGUGCUCUGGAGAUUUCUCUUCGUUUGGCAGGAACACUCAUGACAAAUUUCCUUCCUUUAUUCUUUAAAAACGAUUCCUCUCAGGACUAAUGGAAACCUUUGUCCAUUUAAUACAGCUCAUUUUCUCUCGUGGAGACGUAAGGCCCGGUUACAUAACUUGUAGAAGGGCAGACUGAAGAAGAUAUUAGCCAAGAUGUGCCUUUGAAAAUGUUCCACUGGUGUUCCCAACUCAAAGGCCUGAUUGGGGAUGAGGGGAAAGAAGCAGCUAGACUCCGUGCCUUCAACGAAAGGUCGGACGAGCAAGGCCAUUCUGGCGAUGCCGGCUUUGUAGGUUUGUCAGGGAGGCGGCAGGAGGUAAUCAGAGGAAAGCUCGUUCAUUCGCUCUCAAGAGGAGUUCUGCCAGAGAGCAGAGAAAGGAGAGAACAGCGCAGGGAGAACGACAGGUUGUUCACACAUACCAGCCCCUAACAGGAGCCAUGAGGGCUGGAGCCUGAUCAUCUGCAGAGGCUUGUGAUGUUUUACACCUUCCUUUUCCCCUCUUUAUUCAUCCGCCUAAUCCUUUCCAGUCUUCACACUUGCAUCUCUCUUCCCUCCCCAUCUUGGAGCCAAGUCUUGGAUCAAUGCACCAUUGAUUUUUCUAUCAAUGAACAUUAGUAUGGAUCAGGCUGCUGCUUGGACUAUCCUGCCCUGAAAUACUAUACACACACACGCCCACACGCCCGCACACCCCUUCAGAUUUAAACACACACGCAACAUCUGCACUGUGAUUUAGUUGCUAUAAAAGAGAAACGGUCGACAGAAAUGACAGAGGGUGGGAAUUGAUAAAGAAAAGGUUCUAGCUGAAAACACAGCAGCCAAUCAAUGAGAGGCAUGAAAGAAAAGGUAGGAAAUGAAAUCAGACAGAGCGGAGUUAGUGUUCGGAGUAAAGGAAGCAGUCAUUGGUCAACUAGCUGCAAGUCGAUUCGCGGCGGAAUAAUUUAGCCUGACUGGCAGCCGGUUGAAACUGCUGAUAAUAGCUGCUAAUCAUGACAGUGAAUGUGAGAGAUAGAUGCACCUCUGGGUAUCUUCCUUUCUUUCUUUCUUUCUUUCAUUCUCCCAACUCAGACACACACACGCACACACCCUCCUGUUUCAGUCUAUAACAGGGCCCCGGUCAGGUGGAGGCUGGUGGUUUUUCUUUCUGUCACCCUCCUUUGGUGUCCAACACUGGAUUUAGAACCAUACAAGUCAAACGGAUAUGUUCCAUCUCCCAUCCCCCCCCCAAAAAAGUCAUCAUCUUUAACUCCCAGUGCAUGAGCAAAAAAAAGGAAAAAAAGAUAGCUGCGCUGUAAGAAUAUUUUCUGUUUUUGAAGGUCAAAUGACAACAUUUCCAAAAGUUAUUUCCCAGUGAAAAAAAAAGCAAAGUCCAUCGCCACAGCAAAAUGUAUGUGUGAUCACAUCAUGUCACUCCAGUGCAUUCUGGGAAUGAUCUGAGACACUGUAAUUGAAAUUACAGCAACAUGCUGAAAUGUGGUUGGCAUAACGGCAGGGUUUCAUCUGGAAAUGCAAU